GAUGAACGCUGGCGGCGUGCCUAACACAUGCAAGUCGAGCGGAGAAUAAGAAGGAGCUUGCUCCAUCUUAUUUUUAGCGGCGGACGGGUGAGUAACGCGUGGGCAACCUGCCCUAUACAGGGGGAUAACACUAAGAAAUUGGUGCUAAUACCCCAUAAGCUGACGGAAUGGCAUCAUUCUGUUGGAAAAGAUUUAUCGGUAUAGGAGGGACCCGCGUCUGAUUAGCUAGUUGGUAAGGUAACGGCUUACCAAGGCGACGAUCAGUAGCCGACCUGAGAGGGUGAUCGGCCACAUUGGAACUGAGACACGGUCCAAACUCCUACGGGAGGCAGCAGUGGGGAAUAUUGCACAAUGGGGGAAACCCUGAUGCAGCAACGCCGCGUGAAGGAAGAAGUAUUUCGGUAUGUAAACUUCUAUCAACAGGGAAGAAAAAAAUGACGGUACCUGAAUAAGAAGCACCGGCUAAAUACGUGCCAGCCGCCGCCGUAACAC
This 492-nucleotide ribosomal RNA is filed under the name uncultured bacterium. RNAcentral's name for it is "bacterial SSU rRNA". It matches the Rfam family "Bacterial small subunit ribosomal RNA", at positions 28 to 526 of the family's 1533-position model. The record is from RNAcentral.